AUGGAGGAGGUGUGGCCGGCUAUCGCUCAGCGUGCCUCGACAAUCGCCGAGUGCAUUGACAUCAGCGCCUUUGCUCCUGAGAUAAAUGACGACGGCAUUGCCCAGCCGGAGGAAUGGUUCGGGCUGGACCCGGCAGAGGGUGAGGACUCGGCGGAGGAGAUCGCUUCCAGCGAUGAAGGUGAAGACGACGAAGGAGAGGAAGGCGAAGACGUCGAGCCGGCCGGUGAAGCGGCCAGCCAGCCUCAGCUUGACCGUGCCUCCAGCAACGAGGCGCGUGCUAGCGUGCCCUCUGCGGGAGGUGGUGAUCAUGCCGAGGUUCGCCAGCCGGCCACUCCUCCAGCCAGCACUGCCGUCUCUACCAACCUGCCCGACUCGCCAGUCGUUCCCUUGGCUUAA
RNAcentral lists this ribosomal RNA (396 nucleotides) under Triticum aestivum (bread wheat). RNAcentral's name for it is "partial small subunit ribosomal RNA". The record is from RNAcentral. Lineage: Eukaryota; Viridiplantae; Streptophyta; Magnoliopsida; Poales; Poaceae.